CAGCAGCCGCGGUAAUUCCAGCUCCAAUAGCGUAUUGUAAAGUUGUUGCAGUUAAAAAGCUCGUAGUUGGAUUUCGGGCUCGGCGACGACGGUCAGCCGCAAGGUAUGUCACUGUCGGCGUUGGCCUUCUUCGCGCAGACUUCGCGUGCUCUUAACUGAGUGUGCGUCGGAUACGCGACGUUUACUUUGAAAAAAUUAGAGUGUUCAAAGCAGGCUCGUGCUUGGAUACAUAAGCAUGGAAUAAUGGAAUAGGACUUUGGUUCUAUUUUCCGUUGGUUUCUUGAACCGAAGUAAUGAUUAAUAGGGACAGUUGGGGGCAUUCGUAUUUCGUUGUCAGAGGUGAAAUUCUUGGAUUUACGAAAGACGAACUAAUGCGAAAGCAUUUGCCAAGAAUGUUUUCAUUAAUCAAGAACGAAAGUUAGAGGAUCGAAGACGAUCAGAUACCGUCCUAGUUCUAACCAUAAACGAUGCCGACUAGGGAUCAGCGAGUGUUAUUUGAUGACCUCGUUGGCACCUUAUGGGAAACCAAAGUUUUUGGGUUCCGGGGGAAGUAUGGUUGCAAAGCUGAAACUUAAAGGAAUUGACGGAAGGGCACCACCAGGAGUGGAGCCUGCGGCUUAAUUUGACUCAACACGGG
RNAcentral lists this ribosomal RNA (637 nucleotides) under Carijoa sp. C5688. RNAcentral describes it as "SSU rRNA". It matches the Rfam family "Eukaryotic small subunit ribosomal RNA", at positions 568 to 1209 of the family's 1831-position model. Lineage: Eukaryota; Metazoa; Cnidaria; Anthozoa; Malacalcyonacea; Carijoidae. The record is from RNAcentral.